GACGAACGCUGGCGGCGUGCUUAACACAUGCAAGUCGAACGGGGUAGAGGUUUUCGGAUUUCUACUUAGUGGCGAACGGGUGAGUAACGCGUGAGGAACCUGCCUUUCAGUGGGGGACAACAGUUGGAAACGACUGCUAAUACCGCAUAAUGUAUCUGGGCCGCAUGGACUGGAUACCAAAGCUUUAUGUGCUGAAAGAUGGCCUCGCGUCUGAUUAGCUGGUUGGUGAGGGUAACGGCCCACCAAGGCGACGAUCAGUAGCCGGACUGAGAGGUUGAACGGCCACAUUGGGACUGAGAUACGGCCCAG
Molecule: ribosomal RNA, 309 nt
Filed under: uncultured bacterium
Lineage: Bacteria
Description: bacterial SSU rRNA
Rfam family: Bacterial small subunit ribosomal RNA
Source: RNAcentral